GGAGGGGUGGCCGAGUGGCCGAAGGCGGCGGUUUGCUAAACCGUUAUACGGGGAUAACCCGUAUCGUGGGUUCGAAUCCCAUCCCCUCCGCCA
Molecule: transfer RNA, 93 nt
Filed under: Gemmata sp.
Lineage: Bacteria; Pseudomonadati; Planctomycetota; Planctomycetia; Gemmatales; Gemmataceae
Also listed under: 2 other names
Description: tRNA-Ser
Rfam family: tRNA
About the family: Transfer RNA (tRNA) molecules are approximately 80 nucleotides in length. Their secondary structure includes four short double-helical elements and three loops (D, anti-codon, and T loops).
Source: RNAcentral